AGCGAACGCUGGCGGCAGGCCUAACACAUGCAAGUCGAACGAACUCUUCGGAGUUAGUGGCGGACGGGUGAGUAACACGUGGGAACGUGCCUUUUGGUUCGGAAUAACUCAGGGAAACUUGUGCUAAUACCGAAUGUGCCCUUCGGGGGAAAGAUUUAUCGCCAUUAGAGCGGCCCGCGUCUGAUUAGCUAGUUGGUGAGGUAACGGCUCACCAAGGCGACGAUCAGUAGCUGGUCUGAGAGGAUGACCAGCCACACUGGGACUGAGACACGGCCCAGACUCCUACGGGAGGCAGCGGUGGGGAAUCUUGCGCAAUGGGCGAAAGCCUGACGCAGCCAUGCCGCGUGAAUGAUGAAGGUCUUAGGAUUGUAAAAUUCUUUCACCGGGGACGAUAAUGACGGUACCCGGAGAAGAGGCCCCGGCUAACUUCGUG
RNAcentral lists this ribosomal RNA (433 nucleotides) under uncultured bacterium. RNAcentral describes it as "partial 16S ribosomal RNA". It matches the Rfam family "Bacterial small subunit ribosomal RNA", at positions 29 to 507 of the family's 1533-position model. The record is from RNAcentral.